Cinclus cinclus is the source of this 1275-nucleotide long non-coding RNA. RefSeq lists it as uncharacterized. NCBI's taxonomy places the organism in Eukaryota, Metazoa, Chordata, Aves, Passeriformes, Cinclidae. The record is from RefSeq and is a predicted model, not a curated record. The transcript has 2 exons.
AGUAUGCUACCAUUAAAAAAAAAAUUCACCACCUUGAUCCCAAGAUGCCUGUUAACAAAAACAAUCACUUCAAGAAGCAAGGACUUUAAUGAGGCAAGAUUUCUGAUAUAUGUGAACAAAUCCUGUACUCCACAUUCAAAAUAUUUGUAAACAAAUUAAAGUUUCAUAGCUGGUGGGGGUUUUUUUCCAAAGCUAAAAUGUUAACAAGUUCCCAGGAAAGUCUUUAAAAAGGAUGGUUUAUAUACAGACAAUUUUUUUGUAUAUUCCAAGCAAUUAGUAUAUUUCACAGCAAUGUCGUUUAAAACCCUUCAAUUUCAACAAGCAAAAAAUAUUAACGAGUCUUAAGAUUAUUCCUGAAUACUAAAAAAGUCUCCCACUUCCAUCUGGAAUGAGCAAUGAGAUGAGGAAGCUCUCCUCUGACGUGUCAAAAAACAAACGCAAGAACUACACAAGCAUUCCACAGUCCUUAGUGGGCACAGCAUUAAGUUGGUCUGGCAGCACACUUUGCUCUUCUCAGAAGAUGUUCUUCCAAAUCAUUUUUAAUUCCUAUACGCUGAAUGAUAAGGAACACGUAUUUCAGAGGUAAGAAAACAAGCUUAGAAGGGAUGUUGGCGGGACUGAAGCUGCGCGCACGGGCCCGUGUGAGCCAAGCCCGUUUAACCGCUCCUCAGGACGGUGACCAAGGACUAGGAAAGGAGUGCGGGGUACCGGAGGGAAGGAAGCAAGGCUUUCAGGAUUUCGGGGAGACGCUCCCAAAGCCCAAGGCAGGAACGCUCCCCAGACAAGACACAAAAAUACGGCCCGAGCUGGAGCGACGGCACCGCCCCACACGGCGCGGCGACAGCAGAAAAGACCUUAAAAUGGCGCCCGUGGGGGAGGAGAGCGGGUGAAACUGCGCAACAAACGCUGGCAGGGAGCCAGGCAGCGCCAUCUUCCCGCUCCCCCGCGCAGCCGGGGCUGCCUGCCCGCCGAGCCCGGGCACGGCCGGGGCCGCCGCCGGAGCCGCUCUCCCUGUCCCCUGCAAUCCCUCGGCCACCCCGCGCUGCCGAGCCCGAGGAAGGAGAGAGAGGAGCGGCCAGCAGGGAAUGGCGAAAGGCAGAGGCCUCCACGUCUCAUUCGUCCCCGCAGUGAUUAGAAACAGCACUAAGUAAAUAUGAACGUGCCCUCUAUACGUCGUUCGAUUUUGUCCGGCUUUUACCGUCUUUAUACCCGUUUUCUGCCAUCAGCUAUAACUGAAUUUUGCAAUUAAUACCAAAAAAAACAAAAUAUAAUUUA